Molecule: long non-coding RNA, 594 nt
Filed under: Struthio camelus australis
Lineage: Eukaryota; Metazoa; Chordata; Aves; Struthioniformes; Struthionidae
Description: lncRNA (ENSSCUG00000010603.1)
Source: RNAcentral
GUUGCAUACACGUUUUCUGACUCUGAAGUGGGGAAAACAAGCACAAGGGGCCUGCUAUCAAGGAGACUGUAAUACAGAUCCUUCCACAGAAGCCAGGAAGAGUUCACAAAGAGAAGAUUCCCGUGGAGGUAAGUGCAAGAAAUUGCCAAGUACCAUCAGAAAGCAACCCAAUGUGGAUGAGGAUCCGGCUGUGGAGCAGAGUUUGAAGGAAAAGCACAAAGGAGUGUCUAAGAGAGUGCCCAGCUCUGAAGAGUAUCCAUCAGAUCAAAUUAAGGGCCUGUCUUGGAGACAGAAACAUUGAUCUGCUAUCCAGCGUUCAGUGGGAGCCAGAUGAAGGUGAAAUGCUGCUUCAUCCAAGUCUUGCAGAUAAACCUCAAGAAGUUAGGUGUGCUCAGAUACACAGUUAAACAUGAUGGAGGCUGAUAGUGCCCUGAGAAGUGGGUAAUACUGGUCUCUUACCUCAGCUCAAACUAAGAGAACUGAACCCGCAGUCUAACAUAUGGGUCCUCACUACAAGACUUGGUAGUAGUUUAAGACCACGCUCUGUUGAUUGCAGCUGAUUCUUCUGUGCUCCAAGAAAGGGAGAGUCAUGGU